UCCGGUCAUAUCACGUUCAAACACCGGUUUCCGUACGAUCACUGAAGUUAAGAAAUAUCGAGCCUCGUCAGUCCCAAGAUGGAUGACCGCUUGAGAAUAGCAAGUAUUGUAAG
Molecule: non-coding RNA, 113 nt
Organism: Acanthosepion pharaonis
Lineage: Eukaryota; Metazoa; Mollusca; Cephalopoda; Sepiida; Sepiidae
Source: the annotation of a GenBank genome assembly